GCUGGCGUAGCUCAGUUAGGUAGAGCAGCUGAUUUGUAAUCAGCCGGUCGUUGGUUCAAAUCCAAUCGCCAGCUCCA
RNAcentral lists this transfer RNA (77 nucleotides) under Gammaproteobacteria bacterium. RNAcentral describes it as "tRNA-Thr". It matches the Rfam family "tRNA". From Rfam's summary of the family: Transfer RNA (tRNA) molecules are approximately 80 nucleotides in length. Their secondary structure includes four short double-helical elements and three loops (D, anti-codon, and T loops). The record is from RNAcentral. Lineage: Bacteria; Pseudomonadati; Pseudomonadota; Gammaproteobacteria.